UACGGGGGGUGCAAGCGUUGUUCGGAUUUACUGGGCGUAAAGGGCGCGUAGGCGGUCAGCACAAGUCAGUUGUGAAAUCUCCGGGCUUAACUCGGAAAGGUCAACUGAUACUGUGCGACUAGAGUGCGGAAGGGGCAACUGGAAUUCUCGGUGUAGCGGUGAAAUGCGUAGAUAUCGAGAGGAACACCUGCGGCGAAGGCGGGUUGCUGGGCUGACACUGACGCUGAUGCGCGAAAGCCAGGGGAGCGAACGGG
RNAcentral lists this ribosomal RNA (254 nucleotides) under uncultured bacterium. Its description in RNAcentral is "partial 16S ribosomal RNA". It matches the Rfam family "Bacterial small subunit ribosomal RNA", at positions 524 to 776 of the family's 1533-position model. The record is from RNAcentral.